UACGGAGGAUGCAAGCGUUAUCCGGAUUCAUUGGGUUUAAAGGGUGCGUAGGCGGGGUGGCAAGUCAGUGGUGAAAUCCUACAGCUCAACUGUAGAAUUGCCAUUGAUACUGCUGCUCUUGAGUACAGUUGAUGUGGGCGGAAUGUGGCAUGUAGAGGUGAAAUUCAUAGAUAUGCCACAGAACACCAAUCGCGAAGGCAGCUCACAAAACUGUAACUGACGCUGAGGCACGAAAGCGUGGGGAGCAAACAGGAUUAGAAACCCGAGUAGU
This 271-nucleotide ribosomal RNA is filed under the name uncultured bacterium. RNAcentral's name for it is "partial 16S ribosomal RNA". It matches the Rfam family "Bacterial small subunit ribosomal RNA", at positions 524 to 794 of the family's 1533-position model. The record is from RNAcentral.